Camelus dromedarius (Arabian camel) is the source of this 1032-nucleotide long non-coding RNA. RefSeq lists it as uncharacterized. The record is from RefSeq and is a predicted model, not a curated record. NCBI's taxonomy places the organism in Eukaryota, Metazoa, Chordata, Mammalia, Artiodactyla, Camelidae. The transcript has 3 exons.
CGCAUCACCUUCAAUCCCAUGUGUGCUGCCCGCUUGAGAGUGUGCGUCCAAGUAAAACAAAGUUUCACCACUGAUGCUCCAUUACCAGAGGUCAGAUCCUGCACUGGUUUCCAUUCUCUACAUUGCCUUUUCCUGCUUCCAGGUUUUCUGAGGCUUCAUCCUGUCUUUCGAUAUAACAGACCAUCCUUCGGCAAGUUUCCUGUGCCAAGGGCUGGCAGCAGUAUCUCGAACUUACACAGCUUCCCGAAAAAAAGACCUAAGACAAACUCCACAGAGGGCGGCAGCCCCUCCCUCACACUGAUCCAUCCACAGAAUUCUGCCCAGUUUCCUUGGAUCCACCAGCCACAACAAGCCUCGAGGUACCCAUCAGCUUUCCACCUGGAAUCCAACAGAAUCUCUCAUCUAUUGUAGUCUUCAGUGCCCAAGUUUGAUACUUCUUCCUCACCUCUAUUGGACGCUGAUUCAGAAAAGACACGACCUCCUGGAGAACCUCUGCUGCCACGGAGCUGACAUGGAACUGAGUCCUGAGGAGGCUUUAAAUUCUUUUAAAAACAGGAUUAGUGUACUUUAAUUACUCCAUAGAUGAGUAAUGAAUGGGUCACAUUAACAUAGGAUUUUAAUCCUUUUAGAAUUAGUAGAGUAAUACAGACACAUUACAAAAAAUUGAAAUAUUGCCUAAAAGAGAAUAGAUUUGUAAUUCCCACCCACAGAGGUGACCGUCAUGAAUGAUUUGUUGCUUAUGUCUCAGUCUCUGUGUCUUUCAGUAUGUCUCUUUCGAUCUCUGCCUCUCACACACUCACAAUCAGAUCAAUUUACAUCUAUAUUGAUUUCACACAUAUGUGGUAGUGCAGAUGGGACCCUGGAUGCAGACAGUGGGUCUGCAUACUUCCAUCCUGAGGCCUCCCUUGACAUUGGAUUGAGACCAGGCACCCACUUUUCCAACUGCACAGCAUUCAUUCAUUCACAUCAACCAGAACGAAUGGACCCCAUCCCCUCUCCAUCAACAUUAGUGUUGCCUUAAUUCCGACUGUU